UACCAUGCAGUCGAACGGCAGCACGGGGGCAACCCUGGUGGCGAGUGGCGAACGGGUGAGUAAUAUAUCGGAACGUACCUUUGGGUGGGGGAUAACGUAGCGAAAGUUACGCUAAUACCGCAUACGAUCUACGGAUGAAAGCAGGGGACCGCAAGGCCUUGCGCUCAUAGAGCGGCCGAUAUCUGAUUAGCUUGUUGGCGGGGUGACGGCCCACCAAGGCGGUGAUCGGUAGCGGGUCUGAGAGGAUGAUCCGCCACACGGGGACUGAGACACGGCCCCGACUCCUACGGGAGGCAGCAGCAAGGAAUUUUCCGCAAUGGGGGCAACCCUGACGGAGCAACGCCGCGUGCGGGACGACGCCUUUCGGGGUGUAAACCGCUUUUGCCGAGGGAGAGAACGGACGGUACUCGGCGAAUAAGGGCCGGCUAACUACGUGCCAGCAGCCGCGGUAAUACGUAGGGCCCGAGCGUUGUCCGGAGUUACUGGGCGUAAAGCGCGCGCAGGCGGCCCCUCAAGCGCCACGUGAAAGCCCCGGGCUCAACCCGGGAGGGUCGCGGCGAACUGGGGGGCUUGAGGCCGGUAGAGGUGGGUGGAACUCCUGGUGGAGUGGUGAAAUGCGUAGAGAUCAGGAAGAACACCCGUGGCGAAGGCGGCCCACUGGGCCGAUACUGACGCUGAGGCGCGAAGGCGUGGGGAGCGAACGGGAUUAGAUACCCCGGUAGUCCACGCAGUAAACGAUGUCGACUCGGUGUGGGCGGUCUUGACCCCGUCCGCGCCACAGCUAACGCGAUAAGUCGACCGCCUGGGGAGUACNGGCCGCAAGGCUAAAACUCAAAGGAAUUGACGG
Molecule: ribosomal RNA, 847 nt
Filed under: uncultured bacterium
Lineage: Bacteria
Description: bacterial SSU rRNA
Rfam family: Bacterial small subunit ribosomal RNA
Source: RNAcentral